RNAcentral lists this transfer-messenger RNA (392 nucleotides) under human gut metagenome. RNAcentral's name for it is "Alphaproteobacteria transfer-messenger RNA". It matches the Rfam family "Alphaproteobacteria transfer-messenger RNA". From Rfam's summary of the family: Bacterial tmRNA, also known as 10Sa RNA or SsrA, is named for its dual tRNA and mRNA-like properties. The record is from RNAcentral.
UUGAAAUCAGCAGAAUUUUAUUUAUAAUAAUAAAUGUCAGACAACUGACUACGACACUAGAGGCGGUAUGGAAUAGGCUUUUUGGACCUGGGGGCAGUACCCAGCACCUCCACCAAUUUCAGAAUGCAGCAUCUGCGCUAAUCAACGCGGAAAAUGUUCUAGACGACUAUCAUACAAGCUUUAGGGGGUGAAACAGGAUAGACAGGAAGCAGUAAAGGUAUUAUGCUGUGUCCGGUGAGAUACCACCGUUAUCGGUUCAAAAUAAAUGAAUGCUAACGAUAAUAACGUAGCACCUGUUGCAAUCGCUGCUUAAGGCGAGCGUAACAAACGCAAAUCCUCAUAACUUUGGUUAGUUGUGAGUGGGGUCUGAGCCACCUAGCAACAGAACGGCU